RNAcentral lists this ribosomal RNA (444 nucleotides) under Triticum aestivum (bread wheat). Its description in RNAcentral is "partial small subunit ribosomal RNA". The record is from RNAcentral. Lineage: Eukaryota; Viridiplantae; Streptophyta; Magnoliopsida; Poales; Poaceae.
AUGGAGGUUGCAAUCAAGAACACAUAUCCUGACACGGUGCACCGUUGGUGCAAAUGGCACGUUCUGAAGAAAGCAAAGGAGACACUAGGGCCCUUGUACACGAAGAAGAGCGAUUUUCAAGCUGAAUUCCACAAAGUUGUUAACCAUAUGCUGACUGAGGAGGAAUUUGAAACAGCGUGGGAGGCGCUGCUAGAUAAGUACAGCUUGAGGAGCCAUAGCUACAUGACCCAAAUAUAUGAGACUAGGCGGAAGUGGGAAAAACCUUAUUUCAGAGGAGUGUUCUACGCAAAAAUGAUAAGCACGCAAAGGAGUGAGAGUGCAAACCACAUGUUGAAGUCUUACAUGCCACCAGCAAGCCCAAUGCACGUGUUUGUCAGGAAAUACAUGAAGCUACAGUUUGACCGCGAGGGCGACGAAAGCUACGAGGAAAAGAGGACGAUGAUA